CAGGUCAUUAAGGAAAAUGCUAAUGCAUCAAAAAAAGGCCUUUACGGGAUGUCACGUGCAGUGAACUCAGAGAUCCUGUAAUGAGUUGCAACUGGCCAGAUGUCACGUGUUGCCCAUACAUUUGAUUUGCAGGAUCAAAGCUGGAUGAGAGACAGUAACUCCUGAAUGCUCUGGCAGGAAUUCUCCAUAGACCACACUCUCUCUUGGGAUUCAGUCGCUCUCAUGUCUGCUUCACUAAUAAAAUAACUCCUAUCACU
This is a long non-coding RNA of Lagopus leucura (white-tailed ptarmigan), 257 nucleotides long. RefSeq lists it as uncharacterized. The transcript is spliced from 3 exons. NCBI's taxonomy places the organism in Eukaryota, Metazoa, Chordata, Aves, Galliformes, Phasianidae. The record is from RefSeq and is a predicted model, not a curated record.